AGCCGAUUCAAUUUGGAUUUAGCCGAGCAGAGAUUGAAUUGGCAUUUGCGGUGGCGAAAAAGAAACAAAAUGGAUACCAUUCAAGACGAAGAUUGGUCCGACAUGUAUGAUGAUGUUAAAUAUCAUACCGGGGGCCGAGAUAAAUUGGGACGACCGUACCUUCUCAUCGAAGCGAAGGAUAUCGACAUUCGAAAAGUAAUCUUGCAAGGAAAGGGCGAAAGAUAUCUCCGUUACGUGGACAAAGGUGUUGAAGAGGCGUGUCAACUUGUGUACGAAUUGGGUGAAAAGUACGGAAAUUUUACGCGUGGAAACACCCUCUAUAAUUUAGAUGGGUUUAACGUUGCUCAACAUGUCUGCCCCUUAUGUAAUUUUUUGUAUAAUUGAAUUAACGAUAAUAUUUAUAUUAAUUUAAUCAAAAUUAUGACUUAAUUUUUGCUAAAUGAAGGCAUGCCAUAUUUGAUGAGGGCACUGAUUUCAGUUUUAGAGCAUUGGCCGGGAUGCUUGGAUAAGUCGAUUGUUGUUCGAGCUCCGUCAACCGUCGAAAAUGCCGUUAAAAUUUUUGUAUCCCUCGUUUCCGAAGAAAUCCGCGGAAAUAUUCAUAUCUACGGAACGAACAAAAAUGUAUGGAUGACUGCGUUGUUGAAAGACUUUGACCUCGCCGAGCUACCUCCGUCACUCGGAGGGACUAAAAUUUUUGAGGGAAUGGACGAGUGAAGAUGCAUUGGAUAUAUUUAUAAGUAAAUUUUAUUUAUGAAAAAUUGCAAUAA
Molecule: RNA transcript, 767 nt
Organism: Folsomia candida
Lineage: Eukaryota; Metazoa; Arthropoda; Collembola; Entomobryomorpha; Isotomidae
Exons: 4
Source: RefSeq, a predicted model, not a curated record